This 497-nucleotide ribosomal RNA is filed under the name uncultured bacterium. RNAcentral's name for it is "partial 16S ribosomal RNA". It matches the Rfam family "Bacterial small subunit ribosomal RNA", at positions 28 to 507 of the family's 1533-position model. The record is from RNAcentral.
GACGAACGCUGGCGGCGUGCCUAAUACAUGCAAGUAGAACGCUGAAGAGAGGAGCUUGCUCUUCUUGGAUGAGUUGCGAACGGGUGAGUAACGCGUAGGUAACCUGCCUUGUAGCGGGGGAUAACUAUUGGAAACGAUAGCUAAUACCGCAUAACAAUGGAUGACAUAUGUCAUUUAUUUGAAAGGGGCAAUUGCUCCACUACAAGAUGGACCUGCGUUGUAUUAGCUAGUAGGUGAGGUAACGGCUCACCUAGGCGACGAUACAUAGCCGACCUGAGAGGGUGAUCGGCCACACUGGGACUGAGACACGGCCCAGACUCCUACGGGAGGCAGCAGUAGGGAAUCUUCGGCAAUGGGGGCAACCCUGACCGAGCAACGCCGCGUGAGUGAAGAAGGUUUUCGGAUCGUAAAGCUCUGUUGUAAGUCAAGAAAGGGUGUGAGAGUGGAAAGUUCACACUGUGACGGUAGCUUACCAGAAAGGGACGGCUAACUACGUG